GGGCAAUUGAUCAGACAAACUCAGACUGGAAUUUCUACUCUGAUGUUCUUUGUAGUCUGCUUGGUCCGCGAACAAUUGAUUAGACAAGCUCAGAUGAGUUAUCAAAAGCUUAACUGCACUUGUAUAAAUUACAUGUGAUAAGAGACUUGCUGCUAACGUCUUGGGAUGAUCUCGUUUGUGGAGCUGAGACUUGGUUUCACACUUUUGGGAAUUCAACACUGGUCUGAGAUGUGUAAGAAUCACGACAAAUGUGGACUGCUGCA
This 263-nucleotide unclassified non-coding RNA is filed under the name Hevea brasiliensis (rubber tree). Lineage: Eukaryota; Viridiplantae; Streptophyta; Magnoliopsida; Malpighiales; Euphorbiaceae. The record is from RNAcentral.